UACGGGAGGCAGCAGUGGGGAAUAUUGCACAAUGGGCGCAAGCCUGAUGCAGCCAUGCCGCGUGUAUGAAGAAGGCCUUCGGGUUGUAAAGUACUUUCAGUCAUGAGGAAGGUGUUAAGGUUAAUAACCUUAGCAAUUGACGUUAGCGACAGAAGAAGCACCGGCUAACUCCGUGCCAGCAGCCGCGGUAAUACGGAGGGUGCGAGCGUUAAUCGGAAUUACUGGGCGUAAAGGGCACGCAGGCGGUUAAUUAAGUUGGAUGUGAAAUCCCCGGGCUUAACCUGGGAAUGGCAUUCAAGACUGGUUAGCUAGAGUCUUGUAGAGGGGGUAGAAUUCCAUGUGUAGCGGUGAAAUGCGUAGAGAUGUGGAGGAAUACCGGUGGCGAAGGCGGCCCCUGGACAAAGACUGACGCUCAUGUGCGAAAGCGUGGGGAGCAAACAGGGAUUAGAUACC
RNAcentral lists this ribosomal RNA (453 nucleotides) under uncultured bacterium. RNAcentral describes it as "bacterial SSU rRNA". It matches the Rfam family "Bacterial small subunit ribosomal RNA", at positions 340 to 786 of the family's 1533-position model. The record is from RNAcentral.